Long non-coding RNA from Oncorhynchus gorbuscha (pink salmon), 647 nucleotides. RefSeq lists it as uncharacterized. The record is from RefSeq and is a predicted model, not a curated record. Lineage: Eukaryota; Metazoa; Chordata; Actinopteri; Salmoniformes; Salmonidae. The transcript has 3 exons.
CGUUACACGUUCUUUAAUAUGCUAAUUUUAUAAUUUUAGCUCCUCAUUAAAUCUGUACAGUCAGUUUGAUUCAACAACAUCACAAUUGAAGAUGGCGAGAAGGAACUUCCAUAUCUGCUGCAAACAGACCCUAAAUGGCUGCACUCGGCUUCUGCUCGACGAUAAUCCUGGACUUGAUGCCCUUCGGUCCACGUUAACAAGACACUUUAAUCUGUCACAUGACCCGUUAUAUUCUGACAUGUCAGACUUGGCUCUGGAUGAAAAGAUUAAGGACUUGGUGGCUGGGAACGACAAACGUGGACCGGCGUGGAUUGACGGCUGUUCGAUCACCAUUAAGGGCUCACCAUUAAGGGUGCAGAGAUGCAGAGUGAGGGUGACUGCCCUCAGAGCCAUGUCGCAGAGGCUGCAUAGAAGGUCAUACCGUGUUGCUGGACCAAACUCGUAAUGGCACCUUGAUGGAAACCACAAACUGAUAAGGUGGAGGAUAGUCAUACAUGGUGGCAUUGAUGGGUACAGCCGCCUGGUUGUAUUUCUCUGUGCUUCUAGCAACAAUCGCAGCAGUACUGUAAUGAAUUGCUUCAUGAUUGCUGUCUCCAGAAAUGGCGUUCCCUCCAGAGUUAGGACGGACCGUGGAGGAGAAAACAACA